Molecule: ribosomal RNA, 253 nt
Filed under: uncultured bacterium
Lineage: Bacteria
Description: partial 16S ribosomal RNA
Rfam family: Bacterial small subunit ribosomal RNA
Source: RNAcentral
UACGAAGGGGGCUAGCGUUGCUCGGAAUCACUGGGCGUAAAGGGCGCGUAGGCGGCGACUCUAGUCAGAUGUGAAAGUCCUGGGCUUAACCUGGGGACUGCAUUUGAUACUGGGUUGCUUGAAUUCGGGAGAGGAUAGCGGAAUUCCCAGUGUAGAGGUGAAAUUCGUAGAUAUUGGGAAGAACACCGGUGGCGAAGGCGGCUAUCUGGACCGACAUUGACGCUGAGGCGCGAAAGCGUGGGGAGCAAACAGG